AUUGAACGCUGGCGGCAUGCCUUACACAUGCAAGUCGAACGGCAGCACGGGGGCAACCCUGGUGGCGAGUGGCGAACGGGUGAGUAACAUAUCGGAACAUACCCUAGAGUGGGGGAUAACGUAGCGAAAGUUACGCUAAUACCGCAUACGAUCUAAGGAUGAAAGUGGGGGAUCUUCGGACCUCAUGCUCAUGGAGUGGCCGAUAUCUGAUUAGCUAGUUGGUGAGGUAAAGGCUCACCAAGGCGACGAUCAGUAGCUGGUUUGAGAGAACGACCAGCCACACUGGAACUGAGACACGGUCCAGACUCCUACGGAGGCAGCAGUGGGAAUUUUGGACAAUGGGGGCAACCCUGAUCCAGCAAUGCCGCGUGAGUGAAGAAGGCC
This 384-nucleotide ribosomal RNA is filed under the name uncultured bacterium. RNAcentral describes it as "bacterial SSU rRNA". It matches the Rfam family "Bacterial small subunit ribosomal RNA", at positions 30 to 416 of the family's 1533-position model. The record is from RNAcentral.